UCCUGCAUCCGAAAGUGAUUGUGGGCUGCCUGUGCCCUGGCCACUGACAGUACUGAGAGAGAAUGGCUAUAAGUAGUUUUUCCCGAGUUUGAAGGGUCCAGCUGUCCCUUCUUAACCCUGGUACUUUCACAUA
This is a small nucleolar RNA of Molossus molossus (Pallas's mastiff bat), 133 nucleotides long. RefSeq annotates it as small nucleolar RNA SNORA71. The record is from RefSeq and is a predicted model, not a curated record. The transcript has a single exon. NCBI's taxonomy places the organism in Eukaryota, Metazoa, Chordata, Mammalia, Chiroptera, Molossidae.